CUGGCCACAUCAUUCCCUUACCGUCCUUCUUCUAACCCUUUCUUUGGCAGGGAGAAAUUCCCACAUAGUCCCCUGAUUUCAGGAAAGAAAUUCUCCACAGGAACAUGUAAUCUGUUGAAGCAGAGAAAUCAGGAACAGCACCAAGCAAAAAAAGGUUUUCUCCUUUUGGUAUCUUGAAGAUGUUUCCAACCCUGUUGUGGAGAGAGCUGACUCAUUCUUAUUUUCCUAAAGCCUCACAAUGCCUAAGGGGUAAGUGAGAAUUGGGCAUCUGUCUCUACCCUUCUCUCACUAGAAAUGCCAAAAAAGAGUUGUCGGUAGGAGAAGCUGUUUCACAGUUGCUUUUGCAGGGUCUUUUUUUGAACCUGGUGGGAAUGUCUGUCCCACAGAACCCAAAAGAAGGAAAGCCUGAGCACACUGUAAUUGCUGCCUAAAUUUAGAAUUGAGGUACACUCCCUGCUAAUCAUGAGUCAAAUGUAAAUUACUGAAAAAUCAGUGGGCUUAGACUAUGGCCAUAAACAGUGUAGCUUUGAAAAUUUAGAGAUUUAUGCUUAGUCGAGGUGAUGAUUGGAUUGCAAACGGAUAUUUGUAGGAGCUCCCUGAUGACCUAGCAAUUAAGGAUCUGGUGUUGUCACUGCUAUGACUCAGGUCACUGUUGAGGCUCAGGUCUGAUCUCUUGCCUGGGAACUUCCACAUGCUGGGAGGGUAGGGGGAAAAAAAGGUGUUGGUAAAUUUAAACAUCAUUUCUGUUUUUCGGAUAAAACUCAUCAGUGCUUUGAAUCACAAACAACACUAACCAAAAGAAUCCAUGUGGAUGUAUGUUUCACAAAGGUGAAAGGAGAAGAAAGAAUGGACAAAAAAGGAGAUAAGUGCUUGCAUCCCCUUGUCUCUCUUUGAUUACCCACUUUUCCUCCCAAACUAGCUGUCAACACCUCAAGGCAAGAAUGUUCCCACAUGGUGUCCCACAGUUGGAAAUGCUACUCAACAAGAUAGGAUCAACAGAGUCAAAAGAAAAUGAUCAGAGAUUCAAACUUCUAUCUCCCUGCUGGACAUCUUCACUGGACUUGAAAUUUCCUAUGCUCGACAGUAAAGCAACCUACAUACAGACCCGGACUUGAGUCCUAACUCUACAACUUCAAGCCCAUCACUGAAAUUUUCUCAGCCUCAAAUUCUUAAAUGAGGAAAAUAAAAAUAUCUACCUUACACA
RNAcentral lists this long non-coding RNA (1204 nucleotides) under Sus scrofa (pig). Its description in RNAcentral is "lncRNA (ENSSSCG00070030180.1)". Lineage: Eukaryota; Metazoa; Chordata; Mammalia; Artiodactyla; Suidae. The record is from RNAcentral.